UGGGUCUCAGUUUUUCAAGUGCCCCCUCAUGUGGAUGAGAAGUGCCUAUAGCAUGACUUUUAUACGCCUAUAAAAAUAAGACACCUGAUUGGUUGCUUUGCAGAAGCACAGGAAGUUCAGGGUUUCUAAUAACCACCCAGAGACACAGUUACCAUAGAGACAAAGAUAAGCCCCCCUUUCUCAAAAAACGUCUGCAUGUCAUCACAGAUGCCUGCAGAAAGUGUUCACUCCUGCCAGUUCUCCCAUUAGCAUCUGCUGAAACAUUACAACGCAGCUGUCUCAUGAAGGUCAUUUUUUUCUUCAAAUGUACUCUCUACUUGCUUUGCAGGGGGUGUAUGAAGAAGUACUUUUAUGAAAGGAAGAGGCUAAAGUGAAGUGCUUUCUUGGUUAAGCAGUUUCGUGAGUAUGCAGGGUAGGUGAUUGCUUUAGAAACACUUGAAAGAGUCUGCAUCAGUACUGGCUGAUGCUGUUGUCCUCAGCUUUUCACACAACAAGGGCAUUUAGCACCCAUCAAGCAAGACUGCUAACGUUCACCAGAAAAAGGCUUGUCCUGAUUUCCCACAGCAGUUCUAAAUUCCUUCUGGCUAUUCAAGGGUGACCAUGAGAUUGUAAUGGUAUAUCAUACCAUUAAAAGGACAUACAUCACACACACUAUUUGUUAGAUUUAAAUCCUUAUAUUUCUAUACAGCAGCAUUUCUACUAUGAAUAAUCUGUUUCACUGUAUACUGUGGUUAUACUGUAUACUGUGAGGCAUUAAAAGUGAAAAAAU
RNAcentral lists this long non-coding RNA (769 nucleotides) under Lepisosteus oculatus (spotted gar). Its description in RNAcentral is "lncRNA (ENSLOCG00000022163.1)". The record is from RNAcentral. Lineage: Eukaryota; Metazoa; Chordata; Actinopteri; Semionotiformes; Lepisosteidae.